GGGCGCGCCCGGGCACGGCGGUGCUGGCGGGGCGCGGGCGGGGCAGCGCACAGGCCGGCCCUCUCGCGGGACUCAGUUUCCCCGUCUGCGCGCCCCACAUAUUCGCUUUCCGCAGGUUCUCUCGCUGAGAUUCGCGUCCUUCAAACUAAUGGAACUUUGCAAGGGGGCCCUGCGGCGGCUUCGCGUGGGAGCGCCGGGGAAAGUUCCUGCAAAUCGCCGGACUGGGGGCCCGCCCGGGAAGCUCGGACUGGGCCGGGCAGGGACUGCAGGGGCCUCUGCGCAGACCCGGGGCGUUGCGGCACCGCGGACCCCGGUCACGCGCUGGUUCUGCCCCCGGUACCCCGCACGCGGGACCCUGACCGCGGGGCCUCUGCGGCCGGACGAAGGCAGCGUCCGCGGAGCUGGCAGAAAGCCCGCGCCCAGACCCACAGUGAAGUGAUAAAAGCAGAGAGCAGAAGUAAUUCGAAUAGAAUCCUUCACACGUCUGAUUCUUUUAAAAAGUUGUUGUGGGUGGCAUGCGUGUCCGUAUUCGCAGAGAGCCUAGGAAGCGGCUCGGCAGCUCGUAACUGGCGAGGGUGGAGCGGUCUCAGAUGGGAAAGGGGUUUUCCCCUCUUUUGAUUUUUCACCAAGUGCGUGAUUAUUUCAAAACACUUGUUAUCAAAAAUUUGAUUUCCCACUGGAGAAUCUUUGGUGCAUCCGUUGGGACAGAUGCGAGUCCGAGAGUCAUCAGGAGGGCUGAGGGCGACCCUGGAGGUGGGUCUGGGUGCCCAGGCAGCACCAGGCCUGUGGGCAGUAGUCCUGGGUCCACACUGAGCAGAUGGGCACAGCUCGUGUCCAAGGACCUGAGAGGAGGCCCUUCGUCCAGCCCUCAUCCCGAACCCUCAAACCUCCACCCCCACCCUGGGCAGAGGCACCCAGGGUUGGGUGAGCCGGCAGAGCUGACUUUGGGAUAGAGUAGCAUGGGAGGGGGCUGGGGGCUUGGGGAUUUUAAUAUUCUUCUGUAUUUGGGUUGUUCCCUUGUGCACACGUUAUUUUUCCAAUACAAAUAGUUUAAAAAGUAAACUCCAAAUACCUAUAAGCCCCCUCAAAGCACCUUCCAAAUAUGAACCUUGUUAAUGCCCAAGGUCCAGAGGGGUCCCCCAGAAAGGCCCAGGAGCCUGGGGCAUGGGAAAGCUGUCGGGGUCCCCAUGCUGACUCCCUGGACUCCAAGCGAUAUUCCAUAAAGCCAGGGCCUCCUGGCUGCGGGAGGGAGGCCUUGACCCAAAAUCCAUUCGGCCCUGGAUACUGGAGAGGCAGAGGCCUCUGCUGAUGAGAAGCCCUGAGUUCCUGGCUAGCUGUGGUUAACCACAAAAAAUGCGGGGGGUGAUGAUUUUCGAAGUCCAUCGGCAAAGAAAGACUCCCCACUGCAGUCCUGGGGCAGAUGGAAUUAAAAGGACACGUGGUGGUGAAUAAAUUGGUGAUAACUUAUUUUUGUCGAAUUUCCUUAUUUUACAGAGGAGAAAACUGAGGGCCAGAAAGGGUGACUCCCCUGAGUGUCAUGCCACAAGUUGAGUGCUGGAGCCAGGACACCUUCCAAACCGGCUGUGCCUGCCUGCAAGCCCCAUCCUCCUCCAUCCCCCUGAGCAGCCAGACUGCAGAGGGAAUGAGCGGACCGAAAACAGUGUGGCCGCAACUUCCCCACUGCUUUGCGGGAGGUGGAGGGAGUUUCUAGGCUCUUUCCCUGUUGGGGAAUUAAGUAGCUGGGGAUCCCACUGAGUCUCCACCACCCUCUCACCCAUUUUCCACCCCUCCCCCACCACAUAUACAUUCUGCUCCCCCAGUGCCAAAUAACUUGCAUUUUCUGGAACACACCUGUCUGCUUACGGUCUCUGUGCCUUUCUUUGCCCACAUCUCCCCUCUUCUUGAAACACCCCUCCUCCCCUCCAGCGUGGGCUCAUGUGACCUAGAGAAGCACGUGGGAGCCCUGUCAUCUGGGGGACUUGGGUUCAAAUCCCACUUCUGGUCCUUAAGUCUGUGACUCUGGGCCUUUGUUUAAUAACUGGAGGAGUUUCAUUAGGAAAAUGGCAGUGACCACAUAUGUCCCUGGAGUGACUGAUGUGCCACCCACAAGCUUCUAUUUGGUCAGUGCUGGGUCCCAUCGUCCCAUCUAGCAUGCUCCUCUUCCAUCCUCGUGCCCCCACUCAGUGCCAUUGUCUCUGCCUCUCACCCUCUGUGCUGCUAUUCCUGCCCUCAUCACCUCCUCCCUAGGGCAGAGGCCCCGUCUUCUUUACCAUGCCCCAGUGCCAGCACAGUGCUUUGGCAAGUUAUUCAGCACUGGGGGAGUAGAGUGUAUGUGUGGUGGGGGAGGGGGUGGAGAAUGGGUAAGAGGGUGAUGGAGACUCAGGGGGACCCCCAGCUACUUAAUACCCCUGAGGAAGUGUCGGCCGAAGUGGACCCACUCCUGUGACAGUUCACAGCCUAGAAGAGGCGUCUGUAACCACGGUGACCAGCACCGGUUAUGAAGAAGACAAGCAGCUCUACAGAGGGGCCUCAAGAAAUCCUUCGAAACAGAAAUCAAAGUCUUGCUGGAAGGGUUCUGGGCACCCUGGACUGUCCACAUGGGAGGCUGUUGGUGCGUGUGCCUACGUGUGUCCAUCAGUGGAUGCACGAAGAAGGAAAUGAAUUGAUUCCAUUCUUGAUGUGACUUUCAGCUGUCAGCUGUCUGCACUCCCAGACGGGGUGAUGGCCUGGCACCAACGGAGCAUUACCCUGAUGAAUCAUGGUCGAGGUACUUUUCCACUGGGCCAGCCGCCACAGCCCCUUCUCCAUCCUUCGGAGAGCUCUGUCACCUCGCCUUGUAGCACUUGUGUCUCUCCCACUGGCCUCCACUUCUUGUGGGCACUUUCUGGAUGCCCAGGCCUAAUCCAGCGCUGGCACUCAGUUAAUUCUCUCUUCCUUUAAAGGGAACAAUUACCACCUUGAGGAAGGAGGCCUGAAAGCUAAGUCUUUGCUAUUGCAUCCGCCUUCUUCUCACGAAGACCUGCAGCUUGAAAGGAGGGGAGGGAGAAAUAGCCCUAAGCUCCAGGAAGACCAAGCCCAGCCUCUGUGAUGAUUCCGAGGAAAUUCAGGAAAUCCUUGCUAAUGGCCAAACUUCCCGGGUUUGAGAUGCAAAAGGAAAUCAGAUCGCAGGGUAAUGCUUUUACACUAAGCAAGAAAUUGCAGGAUAUAAAGCUGUGCAGACCAUUGCCUCUGAUUAAGAAAGCGAUUCUGAGAUUCCAGCCUGGAAGGAACCGGGCCCCAGUGUUAACUGUGGUUAAUUCUGGGUGGAGGGGUGAUGGGUGAUAAUUUCUCCUUUUUCUUUUCUGUACUAACCAUUAAUACUGGGGGGAUGGGCAGUUAAAAAUCAAAGGAAGAAAACAUAAAGAAAGCCAAAUCCUUUUCCAUCUGUAGCCAUUCAAGCUACUGCCUGGACACGCUCUCCUUGAAGCUGGGGCUCCUCUCUCAGCCCCACCUAACAUGGCCCACCUCCUUCCUGGGGUCACUCCGUGUUCCUCAAGCACUUCAAACUCAUCCUCUCCUGCCUCUGAGCUGAGCAUAUGGGCCUCUCCCCUUCCUUUAAAAGCUCCAUCCGUGACUGCCUUCUGGGGGUCAGCCACAUAGCUGAGUGAGGACCACAUGCUUCACACCAAAUGAUACAAGAAGCUUGUUCCAAAUCUAUGUGGGUUUUUUGACAUUUUAGAGAGCAGAUGCUUUCCCAUGCUUUCUAAUUCCCUAUUACAUCUAUACAUCUCUUUUAAAAGAUCCUGCAAGUCCUUUUAGUGUCUGGACACAGGUUAUUCCCUCCCUUUCUUUUUUCCCAAUUUCACCUGCCCCAGUCCUCCUGGUCAGUGCUUCUGUUUCCUGCACAAGGAAACAGCCUUGCAAACAUGGUGAACCCUGAAAGCAUGCUGGAAAUGAAAGAAGCCAGGUACAAAAGACAACAUACUAUAUGAUUUCAUUCACAAGAAAUGUGUGUAACAGAAAAAUUUACAGAGACAGAAAAUAAAUUCCUAGUUGCUUAGGGCUGGGAGAGUGGGGUGAGGCCUCUCUACAGAGAUGGCAAUGCCCAGGAUUCAAUCUGAAGAUGUUGUUUAGAUAUCACAGCAUAGUCGGACAAUAGUGAGGACAGUCUGGCAUUGGCGUACAGAUGAACAAAUAGAUUUGUGCAAUAGAAGAAGCCAAACCAGAUUCCAGCCUACCUCCAGUCACCUGAUUUAACAAAGUCAAAGUCACAAAUCAAUAGGGAGAGGAUGGUCUUUUCAGUAAAUGAUACCGUAUCAAUUGACUCGUCAUAUACAGAACAAAAUGAACUUUGGUCCCAUACACACACAAGUCAUAAAAGUUCACUCAAAGUGAAUGAUAGACCUACAUUUGAAAACAAAAGCAAUGCAGGAUCCAGGAGAAAGGGUCCAGGCAGGAGAAUAUUUUUAUGACCUUGGACUAAGCAAGAGAUUCAUAAACAGGACACAAAACCACUAACCACCAAAAAAAAGGACUGAUAAACAUGACAAUUAAAAUGAAGAAUUUAUGUUUAUCAAAAACAAAAAGGGGAACCAUCGACUGGGAGAACAUAGUUACAACACUUGUAUCCAACUGAGAAUUUAUAUUCAGGUUAGAAGACUCAAAAACAAAAAGGCAAGCAAUCCACUAAGAACAAAUUCUGGGCAGAAGACUUCACAAAAGAUCUGCAAAUGACCAAUGACAUCAGGUAAACAUGGAUUGAAACAACAAGAAGACACACCCACAAGAUCCGUGACAAUUUUGAAAAUGAAACCCUGAGGCAGGCAGAAUUCUAAGGUCAUGUCCCAGAUUCCCCCUCUUGGUGUCCGAGCCCUGCACAGUCCACUUGAGUAGGGGCCAGACCUGUGGAUAUGAUGGAUGUCUCUUCUGUGAUCAGGUUACAUCAUAUGCCAAAGAUGGAGGGAUUUUGUGAUUAAGUCUCUAAUCAGUUUACCUUCAAGUUCAUCAAAAGCGAGAGUGGCCUAGGUUGGCCUGGCUUACUCAGGUGAGGCCUUUAAAAGAGAGCUCAAGCCUGCCCUGAGCUUGGAGAGAUUUUCCUGCUAGCCUUGAAGAAACAAACAGCUGUGAGUUCUGCAGCUUCACAGAAAUGAAUUUGGCCGACAAUCAUGUGAGCUCCAUUAGAAAUGCACCCUAAGCUCUCUCAACCUCUCCCAUCCCCCACAGCACCUAUUUACUGAUUAUCUGUACAUGAUAGCAGGGCAGGAACUAGACUCUCAGCCCCCUGAGGACAGACCUUGUCUGUCAGUGCAUUUCACUGUCUGUCCCAGCACCUUGCACAGAGCCUGGCACAUAUCAAGAACACGGCACAUUUUUAUUGAGACAGACUCCUCAAAGCUGGAAUCUAAAACCAAUGGCACCUAAUCUCAGCCAAAAAGGUUAAUGUGACACCUGUGCUUUUAUUACCCAUUUCUGCAGAUGGAAGGGUUGGUUGUUUGUGGCUAUCUCAAGUGAAAUGCAGAAUUAGUGAAUAAAAUUUUCAUCUGAAUUUAAAGAAAAUC
Molecule: long non-coding RNA, 5537 nt
Filed under: Homo sapiens (human)
Lineage: Eukaryota; Metazoa; Chordata; Mammalia; Primates; Hominidae
Description: HSALNT0360393
Source: RNAcentral